GACGAACGCUGGCGGCGUGCUUAACACAUGCAAGUCGAACGGAAAGGCCCUGCUUUUGUGGGGCGCUCGAGUGGCGAACGGGUGAGUAACACGUGAGUAACCUGCCCUUGACUUUGGGAUAACUUCAGGAAACUGGGGCUAAUACCGGAUAGGAGCUCCUGCUGCAUGGUGGGGGUUGGAAAGUUUCGGCGGUUGGGGAUGGACUCGCGGCUUAUCAGCUUGUUGGUGGGGUAGUGGCUUACCAAGGCUUUGACGGGUAGCCGGCCUGAGAGGGUGACCGGCCACAUGGGGACUGAGAUACGGCCCAGACUCCUACGGGAGGCAGCAGUGGGGAAUAUUGCACAAUGGGCGGAAGCCUGAUGCAGCAACGCCGCGUGCGGGAUGACGGCCUUCGGGUUGUAAACCGCUUUCGCCUGUGACGAAGCGUGAGUGACGGUAAUGGGUAAAGAAGCACCGGCUAACUACGUG
RNAcentral lists this ribosomal RNA (468 nucleotides) under uncultured bacterium. RNAcentral describes it as "partial 16S ribosomal RNA". It matches the Rfam family "Bacterial small subunit ribosomal RNA", at positions 28 to 507 of the family's 1533-position model. The record is from RNAcentral.